This 195-nucleotide ribosomal RNA is filed under the name uncultured bacterium. RNAcentral's name for it is "partial 16S ribosomal RNA". It matches the Rfam family "Bacterial small subunit ribosomal RNA", at positions 338 to 524 of the family's 1533-position model. The record is from RNAcentral.
CCUACGGGAGGCAGCAGUGGGGAAUAUUGGACAAUGGGGGCAACCCUGAUCCAGCGAUGCCGCGUGUUUGAAGAAGGCCUGCGGGUUGUAAAGCACUUUCGGUGGUGAGGAUGGCUAGUGGGAUGAAUAAGCCGACUAGUUGACGCUAACCACAGAAGAAGCACCGGCUAACUCUGUGCCAGCAGCCGCGGUAAU